This is a long non-coding RNA of Salvia miltiorrhiza (redroot sage), 642 nucleotides long. RefSeq lists it as uncharacterized. The transcript is spliced from 5 exons. NCBI's taxonomy places the organism in Eukaryota, Viridiplantae, Streptophyta, Magnoliopsida, Lamiales, Lamiaceae. The record is from RefSeq and is a predicted model, not a curated record.
AAUUUUAGGGCAUUUUGGACUCGAAUUUUAGGGAUUUAUGGCUUGAAUUUUCGCUAGUUUUUUUUUCUUGUUUAAGUUCAUCUUUUUGUUCUUGGUUAUUCUGAAUUGAGAAUAUUGAACACUGCUUUCUGAAAAGAAGUUGCUUAAAUUCAUCGCCAUUGCUGCCCCUAUCUCUGAUGAGCGCUCCACUUUCUCCUUCCCAAUUGGAGAAACUGUUUGUUUCCCCAAAGUUAGGGCUGAAACUGUGCAUGCUAAUUAGGUUGUUCGAAGCAGAAGAAGUGUUGGAAUAACAAAUCUGCUGCUGGUACUGCUGCAGUGCUGCUGCGUUGAUAUGUUCUUUCGUUAUCCGAAUAAAAGCCUGAUAUGAUAGUCCAUAACGGGGCUGGAGAUGCUGGUUAACUUGGUGAAUGAUGGUCUGGUGACAAUGCAGCUUGAAUAAAGGGAAUCAUCUUAAGGGAUUAGAGCAGGUGGGAACUCAGAUUUCAGUGAUGAAAUGGGCAAGGAACUUAGCCAAAUGAGUGCGGUAGCUGGGCUAAGGUUCUUGAACCGGGCAGCGCUGAAGAGUCUAGAGGAGUUUGGAACAGAAGGUUCCAUGAUAAGUCCAUGGAAAAGAUGCUGCUAUUCUUGUCCCUGGUGAUGUAG